GCCUGGGUGGCUCAGUCGGUUAAGCGGCUGACUUCGGCUCAGGUCAUGAUCUCGCGGUCCGUGAGUUCGAGCCUCAUGUCAGGCU
RNAcentral lists this transfer RNA (85 nucleotides) under Felis catus (domestic cat). It matches the Rfam family "tRNA". Rfam says of the family: Transfer RNA (tRNA) molecules are approximately 80 nucleotides in length. Their secondary structure includes four short double-helical elements and three loops (D, anti-codon, and T loops). The record is from Rfam by way of RNAcentral. Lineage: Eukaryota; Metazoa; Chordata; Mammalia; Carnivora; Felidae.